GGAGGCAUACCGAAGUGGUCAUAACGGGGCGGUCUUGAAAACCGUUAGUCUGAAAGGGCACGGGGGUUCGAGUCCCUCUGCCUCCGCCA
RNAcentral lists this transfer RNA (89 nucleotides) under Clostridiales bacterium. RNAcentral describes it as "tRNA-Ser". It matches the Rfam family "tRNA". From Rfam's summary of the family: Transfer RNA (tRNA) molecules are approximately 80 nucleotides in length. Their secondary structure includes four short double-helical elements and three loops (D, anti-codon, and T loops). The record is from RNAcentral. Lineage: Bacteria; Bacillati; Bacillota; Clostridia; Eubacteriales.